Molecule: ribosomal RNA, 587 nt
Filed under: uncultured bacterium
Lineage: Bacteria
Description: bacterial SSU rRNA
Rfam family: Bacterial small subunit ribosomal RNA
Source: RNAcentral
CCUACGGGAGGCAGCAGUAGGGAAUCUUCCGCAAUGGACGAAAGUCUGACGGAGCAACGCCGCGUGGGUGAAGAAGGCCUUCGGGUCGUAAAGCCCUUUCGGACGGGACGAACGCUCCGCGGUGACAACCCGCGGAGUCUGACGGUACCGUAAGAAGAAGCACCGGCUAACUCCGUGCCAGCAGCCGCGGUAAUACGGAGGGUGCAAGCGUUGUUCGGAAUUACUGGGCGUAAAGCGCGUGUAGGCGGCCUUGCAAGCCAGACGUGAAAGCCCUCGGCUUAACCGGGGAAGUGCGUCUGGAACUGCUCGGCUCGAGUACGGGAGAGGGAGGCGGAAUUCCCAGUGUAGAGGUGAAAUUCGUAGAUAUUGGGAGGAACACCGGUGGCGAAAGCGGCCUCCUGGACCGAUACUGACGCUGAGACGCGAAAGCGUGGGGAGCAAACAGGAUUAGAUACCCUGGUAGUCCACGCGGUAAACGAUGGGCACUAGGUGUGGGGGGUAUCCACUCCUCCCGUGCCGCAGCUAACGCACUAAGUGCCCCGCCUGGGGAGUACGGCCGCAAGGUUAAAACUCAAAGGAAUUGACGG